GGUGGUAGAGAGGCUGGGGGUGACGGGGUAGUCCUGCUCCAUGUUCUACGGGGACAGUAACCCUGAUCUGGGGGACCGGCGCUGGGCUGGAUAAUGUUAGUGUUGAACCGCGGGUCUAAAUGUUGACGUUGAACAGAGAAAGAGAAAGAGGAGGACGAAGAUUCAUGUUGGGUUCCCUCAACGAGGGUUAGUUAGUUGGUGUACUACGUAGUUGGUUUACUGGGUGGUGUACUGUAGGUGGUGUACUGGGUGGUGUACUGGGUGGUGUACUGGGUGGUGUACUGUAGGUGGUUUACUGGGUGGUGUACUGUAGGUGGUGUACUGGGUGAUGUAGGGGUCUUUGUUUUAUAGCAGGAAGUUCUCCAUCCCUCCACUGGGAAUGCUCCCACUAUUGUUCCCAGCGUUCACUUUGUUCGCCGUUCCUUUUUGGGUAUCAUUUUGUGUAUGUGUGUGUUGGGGGUGUGGGGGUAUGUGUGUGUGUGUGUGUGUGUGCGUAUAGGUGUGUGUGUGCGUAAGUGUGUUGAGGAUUAUCAAAGUAAGUCAGCGUAGUAAUUCUUCCCCACUUUUUGAAUGACCGCGAGUGAUGUGGGUGGGGCUGGAAAAUGUGUUGAAAUUAAGGAAGAUUACGUUGGAAUGCAGAAAACAAAACUGUUUUUGAUGACUAACGGAUCAGCCGUGUGAAUGAACUCCCCUGAACCUUCCUGUCCUUCUCGAACCCGGAGCGAAGCUUCGUGACGUCCGUCUUUGAUGUGUUAUGAAGUCGGGAGGCUCUUCUUGUGUUUUGCACGAAAGAGAGUGUUUAAUGGGGGGCUGUUUGUAGAGUUUUCUCUGGUCCUCAUGUGGCUCUCAGGGGCCCACCCGGGUGGCACCAGACGGAGACCGUGAGUCACAACCAUGUGGCGGCACGCGGUGUGACACCCACACACACACGCACGCACACACACACACAUACACACACACACACACACACACACACACACAAACACACGCACACACACACACACACACACACACACACACACACACACAUCCAUCUUACAGUUCACUGUUUUCGAAGAUUUCAAACUGAUUAAAACAUUCCAAUCUAACAUCCAACUUUGUCGAAGGGUAGUGCAGCUCCUAUCUGAACUCUGUUGUGUGUGACAUGUCUCCUAGCUGCUAGAAAUGCGCAUUACUGAAGUGGCGUGACAUUUUCUUUACAUACAUCGCACAUGGCUGCCAAGAAAAAGAAGAAAAGGGGGACAAGAGUCACAUGACCCCAAACUGGGUGGGGCUUGUGGAGUCUGGACUCUGGUCCUCAGUGGGUCUGGACGCUCUGCUGGUUCCCAGAGCCAUUGGGUCUGGUCUAUGCUGCUCUGGUCUAGGGAUGGGCAUUUGAAGGCAUAUCAGUGUUCGAAUAUCCGAUAAAAAGAAUUUGAGUAACUUGUUAACCGCUUAAAAAAAAAAGAAAUGUGUACCUCACUCAUAAUGUAGCCUGAAGUUCUUCCAAGAUCUGGCCUUCACUAAACAAAUGCAUUCGUUUUCCAUCUAUUAGUCAAAUAAAUAAGGAAAUCAAAUCCAAUUUGUUCAAUUUAUUUAGCAUUUUAGAAGGAAAAAGACACUCGAAAUCAGUAUGCUGAAUUGAAACAAGUUGAAACGAAACCAUAAUUUUUGACAAGAAUAUGAAUGAACAGUAUUGCAUACUUAAGGCACAAACUGAAAUUAGAUUAAAGAAAAUUUAAGGCACAAACUGAAUAGAUUCAAGUAACUGAAGCACAACAGCAAAAAGCAUAAAUACUGGUGGGCUUGGAUAUCAACAGAAAUCCACUUGCAAUGCAUGGGCCUGCCUCACAUUACACAAGAUGCGCAUAUAACAGAACAUCAACAAAAAUACAUUAUGUGUAAGACGGAAAUACAGUAUGUCUAAAACAUUUCCAGUUAACAACAUAACACAUAAGCCCACCUACUGCAUCACUCAUUCUUGUUAAAAAAAAUGAGCAUAUCUACGUGCUCGGGGAUAGGCGGGUGUGGAGGCGAUUUACAAUCAAGCCCGCCGGGGAAAAGACUCUCCGCUGGAACGGAGGUUGCCGGUAUGGCCAUGUAUUCCAAGUAUUAAAUGGCGUUAGUAUAAACGUUUAAUGAAAAAUAUGUAAUUAAUAUAGCUAAUGAAUAUAUUUAAUUAACUGUAGGCAAAAAUAAAAUAAAAAUCUGCUACAGCUACAGUCGAAUACCCACGUCAUUUCGAAUAACCGAAUACUUGAAUAACCGUGGCCAUCCCUAGUCUGGUCUCUCUGCUGGUCCUCAGAGCCAGUGGGUCUGGUCUCUGCUGGUCUGGUCUCUCUGCUGGUCCUCAGAGCCAGUGGGUCUGGUCUCUCUCUGCCCGCAGCCUGUCUGAGUCACCAGGGAAGGUUGAGAAGAGGAAAGUGUUUCUCAAGGAAACCUGGAAACGAAACAGCGGCUCUGGAGAAACCCAGAAGAAAAGAGGAAGGAGGAGAAGGGAGAGUCAGAGAGACAAGAGACAGGGAGUCAGAGGAGAGACAGGCAGUCAGAGGAGAGACAGGCAGUCUGAGGAAAGACAGGCAGUCAGAGGAGAGACAGGCAGUCGGAGGAGAGACAGGCAGUCGGAGGAGAGACAGGCAGUCGGAGGAGAGACAGGGAGUCAGAGGAGAGACAGGCAGUCAGAGGAGAGACAGGCAGUCUGAGGAGAGACAGGCAGUCAGAGGAGAGACAGGCAAUCAGAGGAGAGACAGGCAGUCAGAGGAGAGACAGGCAGUCGGA
Molecule: long non-coding RNA, 2757 nt
Organism: Gadus macrocephalus (Pacific cod)
Lineage: Eukaryota; Metazoa; Chordata; Actinopteri; Gadiformes; Gadidae
Exons: 2
Source: RefSeq, a predicted model, not a curated record